UGUGAGCAGCAGUUUCCCUUCAACGAACGGGUCAAAUUCGUGGAAGCCAUGUGCCUGCUGCUUCUGGCCUACACAAACAUGCAGCCACCAUAGUAAAGUUCUUGCAAAGACAUUCUACACAAACUUGCCCAAAGGCGGAAGGAAGGCACGCACAGAUGGACACAGAAAUCACGGGGCUGCCACAGAAGCUAUGAAUGAGCAUUAACCUAUGUACAGAAAGGAGCGAAGUGGAGCUGUCCAUGGGCCGUGCACACAGUUUCAUAAGCAGGCUUGCAAC
Rhipicephalus sanguineus (brown dog tick) is the source of this 277-nucleotide long non-coding RNA. RefSeq lists it as uncharacterized. NCBI's taxonomy places the organism in Eukaryota, Metazoa, Arthropoda, Arachnida, Ixodida, Ixodidae. The transcript is spliced from 3 exons. The record is from RefSeq and is a predicted model, not a curated record.